RNAcentral lists this ribosomal RNA (285 nucleotides) under Triticum aestivum (bread wheat). RNAcentral describes it as "partial small subunit ribosomal RNA". Lineage: Eukaryota; Viridiplantae; Streptophyta; Magnoliopsida; Poales; Poaceae. The record is from RNAcentral.
AUUCCUGGGCAGGGAACACCACUGACUGCUGAGCAGAGCCAGAAAGGAGAGAUGACUUGUUUGAUGGUCUUUGAAUGCAGAGGCUAUGAACCUAUUGAGUUCGCUUUUGGUAAUGGCUGGAAGGCUGAAUCUGUACAUGGGACACCAUUUGACAUUGAUCUUUCUGAAGGAGAGUUUGAUGAGUAUGAUGAGAAGGGAGAGUGCCCUGUCGCUCUAUCCAAGCUGCAGUCAACAUUCAAAGUGGUGAAGAAGCAGGGUUUUCAUGGGAAGACCAGAUAUGUCUAA